This 253-nucleotide ribosomal RNA is filed under the name uncultured bacterium. RNAcentral's name for it is "partial 16S ribosomal RNA". It matches the Rfam family "Bacterial small subunit ribosomal RNA", at positions 524 to 776 of the family's 1533-position model. The record is from RNAcentral.
GACGAACCGUGCAAACGUUGUUCGGAAUCACUGGGCUUAAAGGGCGCGUAGGCGGGCAGGCAAGUCGGAGGUGAAAGCCCACGGCUCAACCGUGGAAGUGCCCCCGAUACUGCCAGUCUUGAGGGAGGUAGGGGCGUGCGGAACUUCCGGUGGAGCGGUGAUAUGCGUAGAUAUCGGGAGGAACACCUGUGGCGAAGGCGGCUUUCUGGGCCUUACCUGACGCUGAGACGCGAAAGCGUGGGGAGCGAACCGG